Molecule: small nuclear RNA, 163 nt
Organism: Ochotona princeps (American pika)
Lineage: Eukaryota; Metazoa; Chordata; Mammalia; Lagomorpha; Ochotonidae
Product: U1 spliceosomal RNA
Exons: 1
Source: RefSeq, a predicted model, not a curated record
AUAAUUACCUGGCAGGGGAGAUGCCAUGAUCACAAAGGUGACUCUCCCAGGGCGAGGUUCACACAUUGCACUUGGAUAUGCUGAGCCCUGCGAUUUCCCCAAAUGUAGGAAACUCACCAGCCUGAUUUGUGCUAGUGGGGGACUGUGUUCACGCUCUUCCUUA